Long non-coding RNA from Mus caroli (Ryukyu mouse), 2500 nucleotides. RefSeq lists it as uncharacterized. NCBI's taxonomy places the organism in Eukaryota, Metazoa, Chordata, Mammalia, Rodentia, Muridae. The record is from RefSeq and is a predicted model, not a curated record.
GUGGGCUGGGACACAGUAGGCAGGAGGAGAACGAAACUCCCCAUGACUUGGGGGAGAAGGAUGGGACGAUGGGACGAAGGAACUGCAGGAGAGAAAGCUAACCAACCAGGUGAGAAUUCAGAUAUUCACCUGGGGCGAAAUGGAUUCAUUGCAAAGAUGAAGGAGACUGCCACCUUCUGUAGGACAUACCAUGCCAGCAAGCCUGCCUACCUUCGUGGACCUGAAUAGUGACAGAGACUCCCUAGAUCACUUUUUUGCCAGUCCCUCUGGUCAGCAGAACACCUUAUCCUUUUUUGCGCACCAGAACAGCAGACUCCGUGAAGUCAGAGCAACAACACUACGGUUUGCAUUCUUACUCAGCAGCUGCUUGUCAUCCCACAAGAAAUGUCGGAAAAUGAAAACGACUAAAAGCUGAGAACAAAGGAAAGAGAGGAGCAAUCUAUCCUGUGUCAUAGUUGCAAAACCAUCUAUGAGCAGAAAGGGCUCACAGUGUGGCAACUGGCACCACAGAGGUUAAGCCGUGCGUGCCUCAGCUGCCCUGUCACAGAGUGUGAGGAUUAACAGCACGGAGUCACACGGACCUAAACUUGAACUUCAGCUCCCAGGACUGAAGACAGAAGCAUCUCUGGGUGGGAAUAUUGUUGUGAGUAUCACAGCACCAAGGUCACAAUUGUCUCUGGGUGUAAGAGCGCCUUGGACUAAGCUCUCUUAACUCCAGAGGCUGUCUACUCCCUGUGAGAAGUAACAGAAGGCCUAUAAGUUUCCUAUCACCCACACUUAGACCUCUGUCUUCAGGAAAGUUUUCUACAGCAACCAUAGCUUCCAUAUGACUUUAUUCCCCACAGUCUCUAAGCUAUAAACUAUCCUUAGGCUGCCUCCGAAAGGAUAUGGCCAAAACCAAAAUAUUCAGGGAUGAAUUCUCAACAUCUGUGAUUGAAUGAAGAAACUGGAAUGCAUCAGGCAAGCCUCUUUCUGGGGACUGGUUAUAGGUUUUUUGGGUUGUUUGUUUGUUUGUUUGUUUUUUGGUUGGUUGCUUGCUUGGUUGGUUGAUGUUGUAGUUAUUGUUGUUAUUGUUGAUGCUGUUGCUGUUGUGAGACAGGGUGACCGGGUCUCUCUGCUGUCCCGGAACAAACAAUGUAGACCAAGUUGGCCUCAACCUCACCAAGAUCCACCUACCUCUGCCUCCCAAGUUUGGGAUUACAAAUGUGUGCCACCUCCCUCUGUUGUCAGUGGUGGUUUUCAACUCUGUUUUUAAAAGAGCUAUGAAGUUCCUCCAGUGCCACCCCCUUCCAGGGUUGGAGGGUUAAGAACCAUCUUUGCUUAUUUAAAGAAGCCUGAGCCACUCAGCUUCUACCCACAACCUCAGCAUCCUCCAUCCUCACCCCUAGCCUAUAGCCCCCACUUUGGAAUGCCGACACUUCCAUAUGGUUUGAGAUUUCAGUUAUUGAGUAAUUUCAAAAUAGUUAUUUCAGCUAUCAGGUUACAUCAUAGGUAACUUUUUGGUGAUCCAUUUUUGUCUAAAGACAUCACCAGCUAAUGGAGACACCUCUGGGGUCGUGGGUGAGGGAGUGCCUGUCGUAGGAAUGUUAGCUUAUCUCCUAAAAGGCUUGCCUCCAAAGAUAAGAAAGCCAAAAAAGCUAGAAGUGUUAAACAGCCUGCCAUGGACAGAGGGCAGAGGGCAGGCCCUAAACCUGAGGUGGGAGACCAGGUCUUGGAUUCCAGAGAUUACAGGCUUUGGACCCAGAAGAUAAAAAUAUAAACAUCUCAUUGUGGAAAUUAAAGUCUGAUGAAACGGGAGGGGAGGGGAGGCAGCUCUUCAUUUGGUACUCCCCACCCCCACCCCCAACUCUGGAAAGUUUCAGUAUUCUUGCCCUCAAGCUUUGGGACAGGAAGUUCUGGUGGAUCACACGUAGAUGUGCUAAAUUCCAAGCAUUUUGUGAAAGCUAGUUGGCUUACCCUGUCUAAGCACAGUGAUGGAAGUCUUCUCUGUAUCCUGCUGGGAAAAUCCCCGUGCUUCUGAUUCACCUCAGAUAAGAGAGACCUGGUCUGGGCGGGAUGGGAGGACUUCAGAAUUCAUGAGGCAUGCUUUCCCUGUGUAAGUGCGGCUGGCACUGAUGCACGCAGACCUGGGUAUGUGGCAGCACCCUUCCCUACCAGGGACCAGCGGAUUCUGAGCACCACUGUCACACAGCUCUGUAGACUGAACCCAAGUCAGAGGAAUCGCAAUGGCGCUCAACCCUUCUCUCAUCGUGGAGCCGUGGAUUCCCAUGAAAUUGACACAUUACACAAUUCUAGACCCAGUUUCUCUCUAAAUUUUGGGAUGAGUACUCAUAGCAUAGGCUCCUCUCUGUCAAAUAGGGGGCUGUGUUCAGGACAGAAGCUAGAAAUUAUAUCCCACGGGAUGGUGAGCUCCAACUGAAGCGGAUUUCAUUUAAAAUCCAGGUCACUCAUCCGGGCGUGGUGGCACACGCCAUUAAUCCCAGCACUGGGGAAGCAGAGG